RNAcentral lists this non-coding RNA (29 nucleotides) under Rattus norvegicus (Norway rat). The record is from RNAcentral. Lineage: Eukaryota; Metazoa; Chordata; Mammalia; Rodentia; Muridae.
UACGAUGCCAGCAUACAAAUCUGUUCCAU